This 217-nucleotide long non-coding RNA is filed under the name Elaeis guineensis (African oil palm). RNAcentral's name for it is "long non-coding RNA (EGUI_LNC065530)". The record is from RNAcentral. Lineage: Eukaryota; Viridiplantae; Streptophyta; Magnoliopsida; Arecales; Arecaceae.
GGUCAGAAUGAUUCCACUCUAAAUAAAGAUUGUCGAUCCUUAAUAAUCAUAGUGAGCUCUCACAAUCCAUCAGUGACACCUAGCAGUAUGUAGCAACAACUCAAUAGAUUCAAGAAAAAAUCUCAAGGUGUAGUUUUCAUAUGAUUUAGUCCCUCUGUCAUGAGUCCCGACAAAUGGCAAAUCAUGGAUAAAUAGUCAAACCUUAUCAUUAAUCAUA